AUGGGGUGCGGCCACUCCAAGCCGCCCCGUCGGGAUCAGGACGCGCCGGUCGCGCUCUGCCGGGACCGCUCCGCGCUGCUGGCCCAAGCCAUUCGCCACCGCUACGCCCUCGCCGACGCCCACCGCGCCUACGCCGCCUCGCUGCGCGCCGCCGGCGCCGCGCUGCACGACUUCCUCCUACUGCAGCCGCAGCCGCCGCCGCCCGAGCCAGCCGCGCUGCCGCUGCGCCUCCCCGAGCGCCGGAAGGGGGACCCGCUCCCCGCCGCCGACGCGCCCAACAACAAGGCCGAUGACGACGCCGGCCACAUAUGCUUCCACUCGGACGACGAAGACGGCCCCGACGGUGCACACAUCAGCUUCCCGUCCGACGACGAGGCCGACACGGAUGUCCCCCGCCUCGAGCCCCUCCCGCCCGCGGCACCCGCGCCGCCGCCGCAGGUGGCCCCGCCUUACUAUUCUCGAUACGCUCCGCCGCUCUACAGCCACGUCCCAGGCCACGCGUAUGGGUACGGGGCCGACAUUGACGGCUAUGGACAUAAUUUCUUCAACAUCAGCUAUGCCCGCAGCCAGCCGCCGCCGUCUUCUGUGUCAUACGAGCACCGCACCCAAGCCACCAACGCCACCGUCCAUUACUACCCGGGCAAUGGUGCCUCCGGCCCACCGCUGCCCGGAUCUUACUACGGCGGCUAUCAGUACCGGUACCCCAACGACAGCGGCUUCCAUGAGACGGCAGCCUCCUCCGUCGAUGGGACUGUGCCGUCGCCACCGCAGGUGUCGAGCUGGGACUUCUUUAACCCGUUUCAGUCAGUUGAAACUUACUACCAAGAGGAGCCGGCUGCUGUGGCGGCCCAUACCCCCAGGCGGACCACGCAGGAGGGGAGCGAAUGCGAAAUCCUGGAAUUGGAGAAUGCGAAAGUGGAAGAAGAGGUCGUCAAGGAGGAAGUACGCAACAAUGGCAACCACGACAGUGAAGCCGACAGAGCUGGGCUCGCCAAGGACAAAGGGAGGAGCGGUGCCGGCGAGGAGCCGCGCAGGGAGUCCAAGUCGUCAGAGGCAAGCAGCAUGGUUCAUGAUGUCCAUGUAGUGGAGAAGAGUGUGGUGGAAGAACAUUCAGAUGCCGCUGCUGCGGUUCCCGGGAAGUCCUACAACGAUGAUAUUGAGGUGGCACGGGAGAUCAGGUCGCAGUUCGAGCAUGCAGCAAACUCUGCAGCCAAUGUAUCCAAGGUGCUCGAGGUUGGGAAGAUGCCUUACCACCACAAGAGCUCAGGACUGAAAGUAUCCUCAUCGAUGAUAAUCUGUGUCCGGCCUUCAGUCGGCGAGGAGUUCCUGCAGUUUGUGGAGGACAAAGCUACAGAACAUGGCAACCUUUCUUCGACAUUGCAGAAGCUCUACAUGUGGGAGGAGAAGCUUCUUGAAGAACUCAAGACCGAGGAGAAGAUGAGGGUGCUGUAUGAUAAAAAAUGUGAGGAACUAAAAGUUCUUUAUGAGAGAGGUGCUGAGGCUCAUAAACUUGAGGACAGUGAAACUUAUAUCAGGAAGCUAUCGACAAAAAUAAGUGUUGCCAUUCAGGUUGUCAACACUAUCUCAAAGAAGAUCAAUAAGCUGAGAGAUGAAGAAUUAUGGCCGCAAACAAAUGAGCUGAUUCAAGGGUUGAUGCAAAUGUGGCAUGCCAUGUCAGAAUGCCAUAAAAUCCAGUGCCAUGCCUUGGCCCAAGCUAAAAGCAUCGACUCCACCGUCGCAGCUACAAGAUUCAGUGAAGCUCAUAUCGACUUAAUCAAGAAUCUGGAGCUCGAGUUGCUGGAUUUGGUUGCCAGUUUUGCUGCAUGGGUUAACGCACAAACGAGCUACAUUGGCACUAUAAACGACUGGCUGAGGAAGGGGAUUGACUAUGUGCCUGAAUUGACCAAUGACGGCACUCCCCCGUUCUCCCCAGGGCGCCUGGGAGCACCCCCCAUUUUCAUCAUCUGUAAUAACUGGGCGACCGGAAUCGCGAGGAUACCGGAGACGGGGGUGGUAGACACCAUGCAGGCUCUUGCCUCCCAGAUUCUGCACCUGUGGGAGAAGCACAGGCUAGAGUGGAGGCAGGGCAUGAUGGCCAACAGAGAAAUGGACAGGGAGCUUAGAGUGAUGGAGAGGGAUCAAGUGUCCAUGCGCAAGGCCCUCGAAGCACAGAAUAAGAAGCUCGUGCUUGUUUCGAAUCAGGGCGGCGUGUCCUUAUCUGCGCAGGCUGUACGAGAUGGUGAUCCACCCUCUGAAGCGGGUUUGCAAUCAUGCAUGAACAAGUUUUUCCAAGCGAUGGAGAGCUUCGCCGCCGCCUGCGCAAAUGCGUACAAGGAUCUCCAUCUUCGUUGUGAAGAGAGAACUCGACCUGCCCAGGAGACCGACAGAGUUUCCUAG
Molecule: ribosomal RNA, 2397 nt
Filed under: Triticum aestivum (bread wheat)
Lineage: Eukaryota; Viridiplantae; Streptophyta; Magnoliopsida; Poales; Poaceae
Description: partial small subunit ribosomal RNA
Source: RNAcentral